RNAcentral lists this non-coding RNA (21 nucleotides) under Caenorhabditis elegans. The record is from RNAcentral. Lineage: Eukaryota; Metazoa; Nematoda; Chromadorea; Rhabditida; Rhabditidae.
UCUAAGAGAAGUGAAAAAUGA